UACGAAGGGGGCUAGCGUUGCUCGGAAUGACUGGGCGUAAAGGGCGCGUAGGCGGUGUGUCGCGUCGGCCGUGAAAACCUGCAGCUUAACUGUGGGCUUGCGGUCGAUACGGGCAUCACUGGAGUUCGGCAGGGGAGACUGGAAUUCCUGGUGUAGCGGUGAAUGCGCAGAUAUCAGGAGGAACACCGGUGGCGAAGGCGGGUCUCUGGGCCGAUACUGACGCUGAGGCGCGAAAGCUAGGGGAGCAAACGGG
RNAcentral lists this ribosomal RNA (253 nucleotides) under uncultured bacterium. RNAcentral describes it as "partial 16S ribosomal RNA". It matches the Rfam family "Bacterial small subunit ribosomal RNA", at positions 524 to 776 of the family's 1533-position model. The record is from RNAcentral.